This 274-nucleotide ribosomal RNA is filed under the name uncultured bacterium. RNAcentral describes it as "partial 16S ribosomal RNA". It matches the Rfam family "Bacterial small subunit ribosomal RNA", at positions 523 to 796 of the family's 1533-position model. The record is from RNAcentral.
AUACGGAGGGGGCAAGCGUUGUUCGGAAUCACUGGGCGUAAAGCGCGCGUAGGCGGAUUGGUCAGUUGGGGGUGAAAUCCCGAGGCUUAACCUCGGAACUGCCUUCAAAACUGCCAGUCUUGAGUCCGGGAGAGGUGAGUGGAAUUCCUAGUGUAGAGGUGAAAUUCGUAGAUAUUAGGAAGAACACCAGUGGCGAAGGCGGCUCACUGGCCCGGUACUGACGCUGAGGCGCGAAAGCGUGGGGAGCAAACAGGAUUAGAAACCCCGGUAGUCC